Molecule: ribosomal RNA, 352 nt
Filed under: uncultured marine eukaryote
Lineage: Eukaryota
Description: SSU rRNA
Rfam family: Eukaryotic small subunit ribosomal RNA
Source: RNAcentral
GGUUAAAAAGCUCGUAGUUGGAUUUCUGUUGAAGACUGUCGGUCUGCUCUAUGAGCAUGUAUCUGAUGUGGCUUCGGCAUCCUCUUGAGGUGUGCUUAUGCGCUUGAUUGCGUGGGGCAGGCCCCAAGACUUUUACUCUGAGGAAAUUAGAGUGUUCACGGCAGGCAAGCGUCAUGAAUAUAUUAGCAUGGAAUAAUAAUAUAGGAUUUAGGUUCUAUUUUAUUGGUUUCUAGGACUUAGAUAAUGAUUAAUAGGGAUAAUUGGGGGCAUUUGUAUUAACUCGUCAGAGGUGGAAUUCUUGGAUUGAGUUACGACAAACUACUGCGAAAGCAUUUGCCAAGGAUGUUUUCAU